Paramisgurnus dabryanus is the source of this 1115-nucleotide long non-coding RNA. RefSeq lists it as uncharacterized. Lineage: Eukaryota; Metazoa; Chordata; Actinopteri; Cypriniformes; Cobitidae. The record is from RefSeq and is a predicted model, not a curated record.
GAGGGAGCACUAAAACAGAUCAAAGUCAGUAAACAUCACAACAUUAAUGUUUUUGCCUACAAUGUUGCAGCAUGUUUCACUGAGUUACUGACUUUGCAAUAUAUCUCUUGAUCCGUGCCAGGCUCUGAUCCAGAACUAGGGGGUUGACAUCAUUCCCUCCAGACGUCGAGGCUUGUUAUUGCUGCCAUUCCAGAACUCUUUGCUUGGGCUGAGCAAACAUCUUGGAAGACUUCACAAGGGUCCUGUCAUUCAGACAGCGAAGCGCCAUAAUAGGAAGUGAAUUGGAGUGGUGAAUGUUUUCCACUGGAGUGAGGAGACCUUUUCUCCACUGGUGUGGAUUUAACUUGGCUGUAGUCCAUUCAGCAACCAGCCUCAACAGCCUGGGAACAUCCUGCCUGCUCCACAGAGUUCCCACCCGUUUUCUUGUUUCACCUGUUGUUUGAGAUCAGGCUCAGUUCAGGGCAUGUAGGGAUCAAAGCCCUCCUACCACCCCUGUCUCCCUUGGGCACAGUACCCCUCAGACACCUCCCUCUGCUGUCCAUCCUGAGAGGAAGACAGCUGGUGGGAAACAGAGAGUCACACAGCUGGAACAAGACCUCUGCUUUUACAGCCAACGUCUACAUUCAUCAUAUUUGCUCAAGGUUCUGGAAACUUUUGGAGUCCCCUGUGAAAGAGGCCCAGUCAGUUCCACAUCCAGACGUCCCGCGGAGACCAGAGGAUUAUGUUGAAGAAAGUCGCGUGGAGAUGGAGAUGAAGAGAAAGCAGAUAUCUGCGCUCAUAAAUGUUCUUUGUUGACACAAUCCACAGCAGUCUUACCCACAUUUAUAUCUGUGUUUUACUGGCUUGCUGAUAUAGACAAGUAUCAGUAAUGACUUUAAAAUACACUCACCAGGACACACACACACUUUAUCAUGGCGGGUGCAAUAACAUUCUGGUAUGUUUUGAAAGUUUUAUGAGGUAGGCCAAAUAAGACUUCAGGCCAGAGAUGUUAUCUAAAUGAAAGGUUAAACGCGGAUAUAUACUGGCUUCCUCACAGCACCUAGUUUAAUACAGUAUAGUACAUUAGUCAGUAUGGACAUUUGUUCCCAACAUAAUGAACCUAGCUAUAUCUGGGG